AUGCAGUUUUUAGAAGCUGAGCUGCUCGGGGCUCCAGCGUGUGGGGCCGGUGUUGUUCUGCAGGUUCCCCCGGAGCACCGAGGGGCUCCACCGGGGAGACCGCCAGGCCCACCCCCCAGCCGUCUCUCUGGGGCUCACUGCUUCCGCCUGCAGUGGGACGUCACAGGUCCAGGCCCCCAGCCUCUCUUCUCGCCGGAAGUACUCACGGACGUGAGCAGGGAGACGGCUUCUACUACCUUUUGCUUAGCUUUUCAUGAAAAUUACGUCCGGAGAAAGAGAACAAAGUUUGAGCUUACGAUGGCAUCUGACUAGAAGUGGACAAAUUG
RNAcentral lists this long non-coding RNA (326 nucleotides) under Felis catus (domestic cat). RNAcentral's name for it is "lncRNA (ENSFCAG00000049910.1)". Lineage: Eukaryota; Metazoa; Chordata; Mammalia; Carnivora; Felidae. The record is from RNAcentral.